This 492-nucleotide ribosomal RNA is filed under the name uncultured bacterium. RNAcentral describes it as "partial 16S ribosomal RNA". It matches the Rfam family "Bacterial small subunit ribosomal RNA", at positions 29 to 507 of the family's 1533-position model. The record is from RNAcentral.
AGUGAACGCUGGCGGUAGGCCUAACGCAUGCAAGUCGAACGGCAGCACAGUAAGAGCUUGCUCUUACGGGUGGCGAGUGGCGGACGGGUGAGGAAUACAUCGGAAUCUACUUUUUCGUGGGGGAUAACGUAGGGAAACUUACGCUAAUACCGCAUACGACCUACGGGUGAAAGCAGGGGAUCUUCGGACCUUGCGCGAUUGAAUGAGCCGAUGUCGGAUUAGCUAGUUGGCGGGGUAAAGGCCCACCAAGGCGACGAUCCGUAGCUGGUCUGAGAGGAUGAUCAGCCACACUGGAACUGAGACACGGUCCAGACUCCUACGGGAGGCAGCAGUGGGGAAUAUUGGACAAUGGGCGCAAGCCUGAUCCAGCCAUACCGCGUGGGUGAAGAAGGCCUUCGGGUUGUAAAGCCCUUUUGUUGGGAAAGAAAAGCAGCAGGGUAAUACCCCGCUGUUCUGACGGUACCCAAAGAAUAAGCACCGGCUAACUUCGUG